This 202-nucleotide long non-coding RNA is filed under the name Vigna radiata. RNAcentral's name for it is "long non-coding RNA (VRAD_LNC004188)". The record is from RNAcentral. Lineage: Eukaryota; Viridiplantae; Streptophyta; Magnoliopsida; Fabales; Fabaceae.
UAGUUGGUAUAGUUGCAACCUGAAAUAAUGUUACAAUUAUGAUACUUGGAAGAUAUAACAAUACAAUUAAACCUAAUAAAAAUCGUAAAUAAAUAAGAUUUGAACUACCAAUCCCCACCAAAACCAAAUCCCAAGAACAAGAGAUCUAGACAGUGGGAAAACCCCUACUCAAACUGAAAGCAGAUUCAGAAACACCUCCCUC